This 253-nucleotide ribosomal RNA is filed under the name uncultured bacterium. RNAcentral's name for it is "partial 16S ribosomal RNA". It matches the Rfam family "Bacterial small subunit ribosomal RNA", at positions 524 to 776 of the family's 1533-position model. The record is from RNAcentral.
UACGUAGGGGACAAGCGUUGUCCGGAAUCAUUGGGCGUAAAGAGCGUGUAGGCGGCCCGGUAAGUCCGCUGUGAAAGUCCAGGGCUCAACCCUGGGAUGCCGGUGGAUACUGUCGGGCUCGAGUCCGGAAGAGGAGUGUGGAAUUCCUGGUGUAGCGGUGAAAUGCGCAGAUAUCAGGAGGAACACCAAUGGCGAAGGCAGCACUCUGGGACGUGACUGACGCUGAGACGCGAAAGCGUGGGGAGCAAACAGG